RNAcentral lists this ribosomal RNA (252 nucleotides) under uncultured bacterium. RNAcentral describes it as "partial 16S ribosomal RNA". It matches the Rfam family "Bacterial small subunit ribosomal RNA", at positions 524 to 776 of the family's 1533-position model. The record is from RNAcentral.
UACGAAGGGGGCUAGCGUUGCUCGGAAUCACUGGGCGUAAAGGGCGCGUAGGCGGCGUUUUAAGUCGGGGGUGAAAGCCUGUGGCUCAACCACAGAAUGGCCUUCGAUACUGGGACGCUUGAGUAUGGUAGAGGUUGGUGGAACUGCGAGUGUAGAGGUGAAAUUCGUAGAUAUUCGCAAGAACACCGGUGGCGAAGGCGGCCAACUGGACCCAUUACUGACGCUGAGGCGCGAAAGCGUGGGAGCAACAGG